RNAcentral lists this ribosomal RNA (274 nucleotides) under uncultured bacterium. RNAcentral's name for it is "partial 16S ribosomal RNA". It matches the Rfam family "Bacterial small subunit ribosomal RNA", at positions 523 to 796 of the family's 1533-position model. The record is from RNAcentral.
AUACGGAGGGUGCAAGCGUUGUCCGGAUUUAUUGGGUUUAAAGGGUGCGUAGGUGGCGUGUUAAGUCAGUGGUGAAAGCCUGCAGCUCAACUGUAGAGGUGCCAUUGAUACUGACAUGCUUGAGUAUGGACGAGGUAGGCGGAAUUUGUGGUGUAGCGGUGAAAUGCAUAGAUACCACAAAGACCACCGAUAGCGAAGGCAGCUUACUGGACCAUAACUGACACUGAGGGACGAAAGUGUGGGUAGCGAACAGGAUUAGAAACCCUAGUAGUCC